GGGUUGUGAGGUUAAGCGACUAAGCGUACACGGUGGAUGCCCUGGCAGUCAGAGGCGAUGAAGGACGUGCUAAUCUGCGAUAAGCGUCGGUAAGGUGAUAUGAACCGUUAUAACCGGCGAUUUCCGAAUGGGGAAACCCAGUGUGAUUCGUCACACUAUCAUUAACUGAAUCCAUAGGUUAAUGAGGCGAACCGGGGGAACUGAAACAUCUAAGUACCCCGAGGAAAAGAAAUCAACCGAGAUUCCCCCAGUAGCGGCGAGCGAACGGGGAGCAGCCCAGAGCCUGAAUCAGUGUGUGUGUUAGUGGAAGCGUCUGGAAAGGCGCGCGAUACAGGGUGACAGCCCCGUACACAAAAAUGCACAUGCUGUGAGCUCGAUGAGUAGGGCGGGACACGUGGUAUCCUGUCUGAAUAUGGGGGGACCAUCCUCCAAGGCUAAAUACUCCUGACUGACCGAUAGUGAACCAGUACCGUGAGGGAAAGGCGAAAAGAACCCCGGCGAGGGGAGUGAAAAAGAACCUGAAACCGUGUACGUACAAGCAGUGGGAGCCUCUUUAUGGGGUGACUGCGUACCUUUUGUAUAAUGGGUCAGCGACUUAUAUUCUGUAGCAAGGUUAACCGAAUAGGGGAGCCGAAGGGAAACCGAGUCUUAACUGGGCGUUAAGUUGCAGGGUAUAGACCCGAAACCCGGUGAUCUAGCCAUGGGCAGGUUGAAGGUUGGGUAACACUAACUGGAGGACCGAACCGACUAAUGUUGAAAAAUUAGCGGAUGACUUGUGGCUGGGGGUGAAAGGCCAAUCAAACCGGGAGAUAGCUGGUUCUCCCCGAAAGCUAUUUAGGUAGCGCCUCGUGAAUUCAUCUCCGGGGGUAGAGCACUGUUUCGGCAAGGGGGUCAUCCCGACUUACCAACCCGAUGCAAACUGCGAAUACCGGAGAAUGUUAUCACGGGAGACACACGGCGGGUGCUAACGUCCGUCGUGAAGAGGGAAACAACCCAGACCGCCAGCUAAGGUCCCAAAGUCAUGGUUAAGUGGGAAACGAUGUGGGAAGGCCCAGACAGCCAGGAUGUUGGCUUAGAAGCAGCCAUCAUUUAAAGAAAGCGUAAUAGCUCACUGGUCGAGUCGGCCUGCGCGGAAGAUGUAACGGGGCUAAACCAUGCACCGAAGCUGCGGCAGCGACGCUUAUGCGUUGUUGGGUAGGGGAGCGUUCUGUAAGCCUGCGAAGGUGUACUGUGAGGUAUGCUGGAGGUAUCAGAAGUGCGAAUGCUGACAUAAGUAACGAUAAAGCGGGUGAAAAGCCCGCUCGCCGGAAGACCAAGGGUUCCUGUCCAACGUUAAUCGGGGCAGGGUGAGUCGACCCCUAAGGCGAGGCCGAAAGGCGUAGUCGAUGGGAAACAGGUUAAUAUUCCUGUACUUGGUGUUACUGCGAAGGGGGGACGGAGAAGGCUAUGUUGGCCGGGCGACGGUUGUCCCGGUUUAAGCGUGUAGGCUGGUUUUCCAGGCAAAUCCGGAAAAUCAAGGCUGAGGCGUGAUGACGAGGCACUACGGUGCUGAAGCAACAAAUGCCCUGCUUCCAGGAAAAGCCUCUAAGCAUCAGGUAACAUCAAAUCGUACCCCAAACCGACACAGGUGGUCAGGUAGAGAAUACCAAGGCGCUUGAGAGAACUCGGGUGAAGGAACUAGGCAAAAUGGUGCCGUAACUUCGGGAGAAGGCACGCUGAUAUGUAGGUGAAGUCCCUCGCGGAUGGAGCUGAAAUCAGUCGAAGAUACCAGCUGGCUGCAACUGUUUAUUAAAAACACAGCACUGUGCAAACACGAAAGUGGACGUAUACGGUGUGACGCCUGCCCGGUGCCGGAAGGUUAAUUGAUGGGGUUAGCGGUAAGCGAAGCUCUUGAUCGAAGCCCCGGUAAACGGCGGCCGUAACUAUAACGGUCCUAAGGUAGCGAAAUUCCUUGUCGGGUAAGUUCCGACCUGCACGAAUGGCGUAAUGAUGGCCAGGCUGUCUCCACCCGAGACUCAGUGAAAUUGAACUCGCUGUGAAGAUGCAGUGUACCCGCGGCAAGACGGAAAGACCCCGUGAACCUUUACUAUAGCUUGACACUGAACAUUGAGCCUUGAUGUGUAGGAUAGGUGGGAGGCUUUGAAGUGUGGACGCCAGUCUGCAUGGAGCCGACCUUGAAAUACCACCCUUUAAUGUUUGAUGUUCUAACGUUGGCCCCUAAUCGGGGUUGCGGACAGUGUCUGGUGGGUAGUUUGACUGGGGCGGUCUCCUCCUAAAGAGUAACGGAGGAGCACGAAGGUUGGCUAAUCCUGGUCGGACAUCAGGAGGUUAGUGCAAUGGCAUAAGCCAGCUUGACUGCGAGCGUGACGGCGCGAGCAGGUGCGAAAGCAGGUCAUAGUGAUCCGGUGGUUCUGAAUGGAAGGGCCAUCGCUCAACGGAUAAAAGGUACUCCGGGGAUAACAGGCUGAUACCGCCCAAGAGUUCAUAUCGACGGCGGUGUUUGGCACCUCGAUGUCGGCUCAUCACAUCCUGGGGCUGAAGUAGGUCCCAAGGGUAUGGCUGUUCGCCAUUUAAAGUGGUACGCGAGCUGGGUUUAGAACGUCGUGAGACAGUUCGGUCCCUAUCUGCCGUGGGCGCUGGAGAACUGAGGGGGGCUGCUCCUAGUACGAGAGGACCGGAGUGGACGCAUCACUGGUGUUCGGGUUGUCAUGCCAAUGGCACUGCCCGGUAGCUAAAUGCGGAAGAGAUAAGUGCUGAAAGCAUCUAAGCACGAAACUUGCCCCGAGAUGAGUUCUCCCUGACUCCCUGAGAGUCCUGAAGGAACGUUGAAGACGACGACGUUGAUAGGCCGGGUGUGUAAGCGCAGCGAUGCGUUGAGCUAACCGGUACUAAUGAACCGUGAGGCUUAACCUUACAACGCCGAAG
Molecule: ribosomal RNA, 2925 nt
Filed under: Escherichia coli
Lineage: Bacteria; Pseudomonadati; Pseudomonadota; Gammaproteobacteria; Enterobacterales; Enterobacteriaceae
Description: 23S ribosomal RNA
Rfam family: Bacterial large subunit ribosomal RNA
Source: RNAcentral